Molecule: non-coding RNA, 46 nt
Organism: Schistosoma curassoni
Lineage: Eukaryota; Metazoa; Platyhelminthes; Trematoda; Strigeidida; Schistosomatidae
Source: Rfam
AUCCAGCUGACGAGUGCCAAAUAGGACGAAAUGUGCAUUUCGGGAU